GCCGCCGUGGUGGAAUGGUAGACACGAGGGACUUAAAAUCCCUUGAGGGUAACCUCAUGUCGGUUCAAGUCCGACCGGCGGCACCA
RNAcentral lists this transfer RNA (86 nucleotides) under Candidatus Nomurabacteria bacterium. RNAcentral describes it as "tRNA-Leu". It matches the Rfam family "tRNA". Rfam says of the family: Transfer RNA (tRNA) molecules are approximately 80 nucleotides in length. Their secondary structure includes four short double-helical elements and three loops (D, anti-codon, and T loops). The record is from RNAcentral. Lineage: Bacteria; Candidatus Nomuraibacteriota.